ACUGUGUUAGUCAUCUGUUCACCCUAACCCAGCCUAUUUUCUGUGACCCACGUUUGAGUUAACAAUGUGAAGAAAGUCCUUCUGAGAAAUGAGGCACAUCCGGCUUUUCCUAGGACUCAUUAGUCCAUCAGAAACGCUACCUUCCGAUAUUCCCAUCCCACCUCCCAACCCUCUGUCCCUGUGCAGCCUCUCUGCACAGUCCAGCACAAAGCUCCCUAGACAUUUGUCAGAGGAUGCGAGGCUGAGAAAGGCCUUAUCCAAUGAGGAAUUUCUAUAGCGAAGCAAGAAGGCCAGAAGACCUUGAGAAGCACGACCACAGUCUACUGCCUCCUGAGGGCAGAGCUAAGGGUAUGUCCUAGCCCAGCCUAUAUGCAGCCUGCCAGGCCCAGCUGUUCAGGGUCGUGUGAACUCCAAGAAGGAGAGCAUGCAAAGAGAGGCUCCAUUGGAAGCCGAGGCCUAUUUCAGAUUGAUACUCUCAGACAAAUCUUACAAAGUAGCUAGUAUGACCUACAAACAAAAGGAAUGCACUACCAGGGCAUCUCCAAAAAAGCUAAUCUGGAAAACAAAGGACAAAAGGAAACUUACUGUAAAAACGUCAUCAUCACCAAGCUCAGCUUCAUUAUGGAUGGUGGAAGAUGAUGUUGUUGAGCCUAAAAAGACAAAAAUGUAAUAAAAAGUGUUUCCUAAGAGGAUAAAUCAAAUCCAACCGUUUAAAAAAAGGAUAUUUAAAUAAAACCACAUUCUAUUACUUUGCAUGUGAA
This is a long non-coding RNA of Cebus imitator (Panamanian white-faced capuchin), 761 nucleotides long. RefSeq lists it as uncharacterized. The record is from RefSeq and is a predicted model, not a curated record. The transcript is spliced from 2 exons. Lineage: Eukaryota; Metazoa; Chordata; Mammalia; Primates; Cebidae.